UGCUUGGGUCUUACGCAAUAGGAAUCCACGAACCAUGUCAGGUUGGGAACAAAGCAGCAUUAAGUGGAAGCUCUUAUGUGACGUGAGGUCGCCUGAGUUGAGU
RNAcentral lists this signal recognition particle RNA (103 nucleotides) under Eshraghiella crossota DSM 2876. RNAcentral's name for it is "Butyrivibrio crossotus DSM 2876 Bacterial signal recognition particle RNA". It matches the Rfam family "Bacterial small signal recognition particle RNA". From Rfam's summary of the family: The signal recognition particle (SRP) is a universally conserved ribonucleoprotein involved in the co-translational targeting of proteins to membranes. Archaeal SRP consists of a 7S RNA and homologues of the eukaryotic SRP19 and SRP54 proteins. The record is from RNAcentral. Lineage: Bacteria; Bacillati; Bacillota; Clostridia; Lachnospirales; Lachnospiraceae.